Molecule: ribosomal RNA, 1377 nt
Filed under: uncultured bacterium
Lineage: Bacteria
Description: bacterial SSU rRNA
Rfam family: Bacterial small subunit ribosomal RNA
Source: RNAcentral
AGAGUUUGAUCCUGGCUCAGGAUGAACGCUGGCGGCGUGCCUAACACAUGCAAGUCGAACGAUGAAACCGCCCUCGGGCGGACAUGAAGUGGCGAACGGGUGAGUAACACGUGACCAACCUGCCCCUUGCUCCGGGACAACCUUGGGAAACCGAGGCUAAUACCGGAUACUCCUCGCCCCCCUCCUGGGGGGCCCGGGAAAGCCCAGACGGCAAGGGAUGGGGUCGCGGCCCAUUAGGUAGUAGGCGGGGUAACGGCCCACCUAGCCCGCGAUGGGUAGCCGGGUUGAGAGACCGACCGGCCACAUUGGGACUGAGAUACGGCCCAGACUCCUACGGGAGGCAGCAGUGGGGAAUUUUGCGCAAUGGGGGAAACCCUGACGCAGCAACGCCGCGUGCGGGACGACGGCCUUCGGGUUGUAAACCGCUUUCAGCAGGGAAGAAAUUCGACGGUACCUGCAGAAGAAGCUCCGGCUAACUACGUGCCAGCAGCCGCGGUAAUACGUAGGGAGCGAGCGUUAUCCGGAUUCAUUGGGCGUAAAGAGCGCGUAGGCGGCCUCUCAAGCGGGAUCUCUAAUCCGAGGGCUCAACCCCCGGCCGGACCCCGAACUGGGAGGCUCGAGUUCGGUAGAGGCAGGCGGAAUUCCCGGUGUAGCGGUGGAAUGCGCAGAUAUCGGGAAGAACACCGAUGGCGAAGGCAGCCUGCUGGGCCGCAACUGACGCUGAGGCGCGAAAGCCAGGGGAGCAAACGGGAUUAGAUACCCCGGUAGUCCUGGCCGUAAACGAUGGAUACUAGGUGUAGGAGGUAUCGACUCCUUCUGUGCCGGAGUUAACGCAAUAAGUAUCCCGCCUGGGGAGUACGGCCGCAAGGCUGAAACUCAAAGGAAUUGACGGGGGCCCGCACAAGCGGUGGAGUAUGUGGUUUAAUUCGACGCAACGCGAAGAACCUUACCAAGCCUUGACAUUGAUUGCUACGGAAAGAGAUUUCCGGUUCUUCUUCGGAAGACAAGAAAACAGGUGGUGCACGGCUGUCGUCAGCUCGUGUCGUGAGAUGUUGGGUUAAGUCCCGCAACGAGCGCAACCCCUAUCUUCUGUUGCCAGCACUAAGGGUGGGGACUCAGAAGAGACUGCCGCAGACAAUGCGGAGGAAGGCGGGGAUGACGUCAAGUCAUCAUGCCCCUUAUGGCUUGGGCUACACACGUACUACAAUGGCUCUUAAUAGAGGGAAGCGAAGGAGCGAUCCGGAGCAAACCCCAAAAACAGAGUCCCAGUUCGGAUUGCAGGCUGCAACUCGCCUGCAUGAAGCAGGAAUCGCUAGUAAUCGCAGGUCAGCAUACUGCGGUGAAUACGUUCCCGGGCCUUGCACACACCGCCCGUCA